GACGAACGCUGGCGGCGUGCCUAAUACAUGCAAGUUGAGCGCUGAAGGUUGGUACUUGUACCAACUGGAUGAGCAGCGAACGGGUGAGUAACGCGUGGGGAAUCUGCCUUUGAGCGGGGGACAACAUUUGGAAACGAAUGCUAAUACCGCAUAAAAACUUUAAACACAAGUUUUAAGUUUGAAAGAUGCAAUUGCAUCACUCAAAGAUGAUCCCGCGUUGUAUUAGCUAGUUGGUGAGGUAAAGGCUCACCAAGGCGAUGAUACAUAGCCGACCUGAGAGGGUGAUCGGCCACAUUGGGACUGAGACACGGCCCAAACUCCUACGGGAGGCAGCAGUAGGGAAUCUUCGGCAAUGGACGAAAGUCUAACCGAGCAACGCCGCGUGAGUGAAGAAGGUUUUCGGAUCGUAAAACUCUGUUGGUAGAGAAGAACGUUGGUGAGAGUGGAAAGCUCAUCAAGUGACGGUAACUACCCAGAAAGGGACGGCUAACUACGUG
RNAcentral lists this ribosomal RNA (497 nucleotides) under uncultured bacterium. RNAcentral's name for it is "partial 16S ribosomal RNA". It matches the Rfam family "Bacterial small subunit ribosomal RNA", at positions 28 to 507 of the family's 1533-position model. The record is from RNAcentral.